This 440-nucleotide ribosomal RNA is filed under the name uncultured bacterium. RNAcentral's name for it is "partial 16S ribosomal RNA". It matches the Rfam family "Bacterial small subunit ribosomal RNA", at positions 338 to 795 of the family's 1533-position model. The record is from RNAcentral.
CCUACGGGAGGCUGCAGGGGGGAAUAUUGCACAAUGGGGGAAACCCUGAUGCAGCGACGCCGCGUGAGUGAAGAAGGAUCUCGGGAGGUAAAGCUCUAUCAGCAGGGAAGAAAAUGACGGUACCUGACUAAGAAGCCCCGGCUAACUACGUGCCAGCAGCCGCGGUAAUACGUAGGGGGCAAGCGUUAUCCGGAUUUACUGGGUGUAAAGGGAGCGUAGACGGGGCUGCAAGUCCGGAGUGAAAGCCCAUGGCUUAACCCUGGUACUGCUCUGGAAACUGUGGAGCUUGAGUGCGGGAGAGGCAGGCGGAAUUCCUAGUGUAGCGGUGAAAUGCGUAGAUAUUAGGCGGAACACCGGCGGCGAAGGCGGCCUGCUGGACCGUAACUGACGUUGAGGCUCGAAAGUGCGGGUAUCAAACAGGAUUAGAUACCCCGGUAGUC